Molecule: transfer RNA, 77 nt
Filed under: Enterobacter phage EBPL
Lineage: Duplodnaviria; Heunggongvirae; Uroviricota; Caudoviricetes; Pantevenvirales; Straboviridae
Description: tRNA-Met
Rfam family: tRNA
About the family: Transfer RNA (tRNA) molecules are approximately 80 nucleotides in length. Their secondary structure includes four short double-helical elements and three loops (D, anti-codon, and T loops). Further hydrogen bonds mediate the characteristic L-shaped molecular structure. tRNAs have two regions of fundamental functional importance: the anti-codon, which is responsible for specific mRNA codon recognition, and the 3' end, to which the tRNAs corresponding amino acid is attached (by aminoacyl-tRNA synthetases). tRNAs cope with the degeneracy of the genetic code in two manners: having more than one tRNA (with a specific anti-codon) for a particular amino acid; and 'wobble' base-pairing, i.e. permitting non-standard base-pairing at the 3rd anti-codon position.
Source: RNAcentral
GGCCCUUUAGCUCAAUAGGUUAGAGCGAGCGACUCAUAAUCGCGUGGUUACUGGUUCGAGUCCAGUAGGGGCCACCA